AGAGUUAUUUGUAAAAUAUUAGUAAUCAUGUUGCUUUCACAGGUAUGUGAGAAGUAUGAAUGAAACAAUGAAUGUGAAAAGUACUCCACAGUGGCAAUUAUUAUUACUCUCCUACUGUUCCUCUUUACUAGCCAUUGAUCACUCAGAAGUCCAGUCCUUUCUGGCUGCCUUCUGCCAUCCACUCUGUUCACCUGGCUCUGGGGGUCUGUGUGCACCUUCCCCCCUCCCUCAGCUUCUGCAGCUGGAGUUAGAUCUGCCUUCUGCCUCCGGAGCAGGUUUUGUUCUCAUCGCUUUCCUGCCAUCUUGUAUGUGAUGACAUGGCUGACAGCUUCUGAUGUGUCUCGGAAGAUCCCUGCCUCCCAGCAGUCAUACCCAAUGCCUCUCAGGGAAACCCUGACCAACUGCUAGAGGUUGGAGGUAGGGGCCCAAGCAAC
This 434-nucleotide long non-coding RNA is filed under the name Mustela putorius furo (domestic ferret). RNAcentral's name for it is "lncRNA (ENSMPUG00000028915.1)". Lineage: Eukaryota; Metazoa; Chordata; Mammalia; Carnivora; Mustelidae. The record is from RNAcentral.